UUUCCUUUCUCAAAUGGAUCCAUACCAAGUCACCGGGUUCAAAAAUCAUAGGCUUUCGUCCCUUAUUAGCAUGAGAUGCAUAUUGCUCAUUUUUCUUUUCUAGAUGCAACCUAGCUUGUUCAUGCAUCUUUUUAACCAUUUCAGCCUUUUUCUCACCAUCCAAUGAAGCAACAUGAUCAAUAGGCAAUGGUAACAAAUCCAAGGGAGUAAGUGGAUUAAAACCAUAAACAAGCUCAAAAGGAGAGUAUCCACUAGAUGAAUGCACAACCCUAUUAUAUGCAAAUUCUAUGUAUGGUAUGCAUUCCUCCCAAGACUUUAAAUUUUGUUUCACUAAGGCUCUCAAAAGUGUGAUUAAGGUCUUAUUCACUACUUCUGUUUGGCCAUCAGUUUGGGGAUGGCAAGUAGUAGAGAAAAGUAGCUUAGUUUCCAAUUUUCCUCAAAGAACCUUCCAAAAAUGACUCAAGAACUUGACAUCCCUAUCACUCACAAUGGUUCUAGGUAUACCAUGUAACCUAACAAUCUCCCUAAAGAAUAGAUUAGCAACAUAUGUAGCAUCAUCAUUUUUGUGACAUGGGAUAAAAUGAGCCAUUUUUGAAAACCUAUCCACAACAACAAAAAUUGAAUCAUGACCCCUU
This 635-nucleotide unclassified non-coding RNA is filed under the name Hevea brasiliensis (rubber tree). The record is from RNAcentral. Lineage: Eukaryota; Viridiplantae; Streptophyta; Magnoliopsida; Malpighiales; Euphorbiaceae.